Molecule: long non-coding RNA, 1550 nt
Organism: Salvelinus namaycush (lake trout)
Lineage: Eukaryota; Metazoa; Chordata; Actinopteri; Salmoniformes; Salmonidae
Exons: 3
Source: RefSeq, a predicted model, not a curated record
ACCAGAUCAGAUCAACGAUAGCAAACCCAGGAUAGUCAACCCAGGACAGCAGUUUCCUCUAGUAUCUGGCCCAUGAGACACCUCGCCUCUCUGCAAUAUGAAGUACCUGGUUCUGGGACUCGGCACACUGGCCUUGCUGGCAUCCAGCAUGGCACAGAAUUCUACAAUAGGACCAACAACCAAUCAACAUAAUUCUACAAUAGGACCAACAACUGACCAACAGAAUUCUACAAUAGGACCAACAACCAACCAACAUAAUUCUACAAUAGGACCAACAACCGACCAACAGAAUUCUACAAUAGGACCAACAACUGACCAACAGAAUUCUACAAUAGGACCAACAACUGACCAACAGAAUUCUACAAUAGGACCAACAACUGACCAACAGAAUUCUACAAUAGGACCAACAACUGACCAACAGAAUUCUACAAUAGGACCAACAACCGACCAACAGAAUUCUACAAUAGGACCAGCAACCGCCACAACUGCCACAACCGCCACAUGGCCAUCCACAGCAAAUUCCACAAUAGGACCAACAACCGACCAACAGAAUUCUACAAUAGGACCAACCGACCAACAGAAUUCUACAAUAGGACCAACCGACCAACAGAAUUCUACAAUAGGACCAACAACCGACCAACAGAAUUCUACAAUAGGACCAACCGACCAACAGAAUUCUACAAUAGGACCAACAACCGACCAACAGAAUUCUACAAUUGGAUCAACAAACGCCACCACAACCGCCACAUGGCCAACCACUCUCACCACACCAGCAGGAGGCAGCUAUGUCUUCAGUUACUCCAUGACUUUACUGUUUGGUUCGACAGCCAGCCUAAUCAUGCAUUCACUAUUACAUUGAGCGCCACAUAGAGGGUCACAUUGACUGCACUUUCCUGAGAGUGUUAAAGGCAUACUUUGGGAUUUUGGCAAUGAGGCCCGGUACCUACUUUCCCAGAGUCAGAUGAACUCAUGGAUACCAGUUUUAAGUCUCUGCGUGCGGUUUGAAUAAAGUUGCUAACUUGCGCAAUUGUUAACCUCCUUUCAGCUCAAUGACUGCUAACGCUAGUUGUUAACUAGCGCUAGCACAAUUGCUAAUUAGCGUUAGCGCAAUGACAUGAACACUAGUUAGCAUUGGCCUCGCAAAACUACCUCUAACUUCCUUCAUACUGGACUCAAAGACAUACAAAUGGUAUCCACGAGUUCAUCUGAUUCUGGGAAAGAUGUUAAAGGGCACCAUCGCCAAAUCCUAAAGUAUCCCUUUAAAAACUGAAUAAGAGCGUAGGAGAAGGAUCUUUCUCUCUGACAAUUUGUGUGUUUUACAAUGACCUGCUGGAGGUUUGUGUGUGCUCUGUGUAUUUCAAAAUGUAGAAUUAAAACACUGGUUGAUAGGGUUGCAAUGCCAAAAAUCGGUGUAUAUUAAUGUUUUAUAUUCAAUCAAGCGGUGAGUUCCUUGAUAUAGGUCUUUAUAUAAAUGGUAAAUUAUUUAAUUUCUCAUUGUACAAAUGUUGAAAUGUACCCAAAUAAAAUAUUUUUUUUGUAUUGCUAUUUGA